Non-coding RNA from Schistosoma margrebowiei, 45 nucleotides. Lineage: Eukaryota; Metazoa; Platyhelminthes; Trematoda; Strigeidida; Schistosomatidae. The record is from Rfam.
AUCCAGCUAACGAGUCCCAAAUAGGACGAAACGAAUGUCCUGGAU